AAGCAACACUCUGUGGCAGAUGAACAAACUAUCUGACACAAUUUGAGCUUGCUAUAGCAAGAAAGUCUAACCUAUUCCGGUGUUCUCUUCCUCAUGAGACAAGCCGUUAUAUAGGCUCAAACAGU
RNAcentral lists this small nucleolar RNA (125 nucleotides) under Peromyscus maniculatus bairdii (prairie deer mouse). Its description in RNAcentral is "Small nucleolar RNA SNORA28 (ENSPEMG00000005588.2)". It matches the Rfam family "Small nucleolar RNA SNORA28". Rfam says of the family: ACA28 is a member of the H/ACA class of snoRNA that guide the sites of modification of uridines to pseudouridines. Lineage: Eukaryota; Metazoa; Chordata; Mammalia; Rodentia; Cricetidae. The record is from Rfam by way of RNAcentral.